Long non-coding RNA from Solea senegalensis (Senegalese sole), 1153 nucleotides. RefSeq lists it as uncharacterized. NCBI's taxonomy places the organism in Eukaryota, Metazoa, Chordata, Actinopteri, Pleuronectiformes, Soleidae. The record is from RefSeq and is a predicted model, not a curated record. The transcript has 3 exons.
CAACGCAGCGUUAUGACAACAUAAAGUAACAGGUAUGUUGGCUUUAUGAAAGAAUGUAAUGUUUCAAUAAAAGUGUUUGUUUACCUUCUGUCACUCCCUGUAACUUGUACCUCACCUCCCUCAUCCUCUCCAGAGCUUUCAGAUUGGGGGUGGCUGUGUGAUGCAGCACUCCUUCGAUGGAGGACACUGAAGCCUUCAGCUUCUCCAGGUGCUCCUGCUCAUACUCCCGGAUGCUGUUCACACCGAUCUCAGCACAGAAAUCAGAAAACACCAGGUCCUCCAUCUGAAUACAAAGAUCAUCAGACUGAUCACUGACAAGUACAAACACUACAGCCAAUCACAAGAAACAGAGGAGACAGAAGUUGUUUUAAGUCCACAUCAGCAUGUGGGAGCGGGCUGCUGAAGCUGUGCAGAUGGGACAGACCUGGUUGAUCUGGUCUCUGAUCUUCCUCAUCUCUGCCUCCUUUCCCUCCACACUUUCGAGCUGCAUCUGGAUCUGAUAGUCCAGGUUUGCUACUUCACUUUCCAUGCGAGAGAUUUCCUGAAAACCACAGGGAGACAGGACAGACACAAUAUUACUGCCAAGUCAUGAACUCUUACGUCAUAGCAUGGAUAAACCAGGGAAAAUAAAGUUCAAGAAACAGGAUACACUGAAAAGACUGAAAACAAAAGGACACUGAUCCCACAAAUCACACUAAAAAUCAACAACAACCCAACAACAAUUCAAUUUUAUCAUACCGCUUGGCACUUGGGGGUGUUUUUUUUCCGGAGGUUUUCCAGCUCAUUUUUGGAGUAUUUGAGGCGGAUCUGAGCACCCUGGGCCUGAGCAACGACCUGUUUCAGGUCCGAAUCCUUCCGCUUCAGCUUCAUUAGAUCCUGUCAUAAAAACACAGUACUGUUUAUCAUGAAGAAAGUACGCAGUCCUGUAAGCAAUCCUCACUCACUUGUUCAGUGCAUUAUACAGUUACAUACACAGAACAGGCACAGCUUUUCUCCUUUAUGUAACUUUUGAAAAAUGCUGUGAACUCUCAUGUCCCCAUGUUUUUCUUUCCGUGAAUGUAUUUUCAUUUUUAUCCCUUAUAACAUCAACCUGCCAAGGGACUACAAUUAGCCUCAGGCUACAACCUACAUUUUAAUGAUUAUCAAUGUGCAA